Molecule: long non-coding RNA, 679 nt
Organism: Dreissena polymorpha
Lineage: Eukaryota; Metazoa; Mollusca; Bivalvia; Myida; Dreissenidae
Exons: 3
Source: RefSeq, a predicted model, not a curated record
UACAUGAACUGUAAUUCCACAAACAUGGUCAAUAGGGUAGUCGAAAAGAAUCGUGAUCUGUUUGAAAUAAAGAAAUAUUAUAGAGAUAACAUUUCGAUGUUGAUAGACUCAUUUAAAAGCGAAGACGAUGGUUCAAUAGAGACAUGUAAAGUUGAAGAACCAGCGGAGAAAGAAUGGGCCAUCAGCAUUUUAUAUCCGUUUGAAGUAUGCGAAACGUCCAUCCUUGUUGAUAAUAAAUCAUUAAGCGAGACAUGUCAAUACAGGCAUGGUAACCCGAACAUCACAGUGAAAGUAGAAACAGUUUCAACAUGUCCAUUAAUAACAACAACGUCCAGAUCGGAAAUUAAUAUAACUCUGUGUGAGUUUGUCAGUCAAAAUGAUUUAGGUGCACGGAAAUUUGCUGAUUAUGCGACUGGUCUUUUCAAAGUGGAAAUCCUUUACCCUGCCACAAUACUUCAAUACGACAUUACAAUAGAGGAAAUACGUUCACAUGCGUGGAAUCUGACGUCAGAUGGUUUACGCUACAUACGAUUCAAUUGUCAUGGAAACGGAAACCCACCUCCAAUAAUGACGUUAAUUAAAGAAGAGACAGUUCUAUUGAGCCAAAACACUCAUUUACAGCAUAAAAUUCAUUUAUCUUAUAAACAAGAGUCGAACAUAUAUACGUGCAUAGCAUGGA